Molecule: ribosomal RNA, 2134 nt
Filed under: terrestrial metagenome
Description: bacterial LSU rRNA
Rfam family: Bacterial large subunit ribosomal RNA
Source: RNAcentral
UCAAGUUACAAAGGGCGCACGGUGGAUGCCUUGGCGCCAGGAGGCGAUGAAGGGCGUGGCAAGCUGCGAUAAGCCUCGGUGAGCCGCAAGCAGGCUUUGACCCGGGGAUGCCCGAAUGGGGAAACCCAGGGCGGCAAAACCGCCCUACCCCGCCCUGAAUCCAUAGGGGCGGGGGGCCCACCGGGGGAACUGAAACAUCUUAGUACCCCGAGGAAAAGAAAUCAAAACGAGAUUCCCUAAGUAGCGGCGAGCGAACGGGGAAGAGCCCAAACCCCUGGACUGUAAGGUGGCAGCCGUUUUUCCAGGGGGGUUUUGGGAAGCCCUCUUCGGGGAUCUGCCAGUCUCCGGGGGAGUCAAAAAACCGUACCCUAGCCGAAGCGGCCUGGAAAGGCCGGCCACAGAGGGUAAAAGCCCCGUAGGCGAAAGGGUCCGGUCUCCCCGAGGGCUAUCCCGAGUACCGCGGGACACGAGGAAUCCCGCGGGAAGAUGGGAGGACCACCUUCCAAGGCUAAAUACUCCUGGCGACCGAUAGCGGAUAGUACCGUGAGGGAAAGGUGAAAAGCACCCCGGGAGGGGAGUGAAAUAGAACCUGAAACCGUGUGCCUACAAGCAGUCAGAGGCCCAUGCCCAGCCCUCAUUGAGUUCUGGGCGGGCUGAUGGCGUACUUUUUGUAGAACGGGCCGGCGAGUUACGGUAGCGAGCGAGGUUAAGGGCAUACCCGGAGCCGCAGCGAAAGCGAGUCCGAAAGGGCGCAAGUUCGUUAUCGUAGACCCGAAACCGGGUGAUCUACCCAUGGGCAGGGUGAAGCGGGAGUAAAGUUCCGUGGAGGCCCGAACCGACCGGCGUUGAAAAGCCGGCGGAUGACCUGUGGGUAGGGGUGAAAUGCCAAUCGAACCCGGAAAUAGCUGGUUCUCCCCGAAAUAGCUUUAGGGCUAGCCUCAAGGGAGAUUGGCGGAGGUAGAGCUCUGAAAAGGCUAGGGGCGUAAACCACGUUACCGAACCUUUUCAAACUGCGAAUGCUGCCAAUUGCUCCUUGGGAGUCAGACUACGGGGGAUAAGCUUCGUGGUCAAAAGGGAAACAGCCCAGACCAGCAGCUAAGGUCCCCAAGUGCGGGCUAAGUGGGAAAGGAUGUAAGGUCGCUAAAACAACCAGGAUGUUGGCUUAGAAGCAGCCAUCAUUUAAAGAGUGCGUAAUAGCUCACUGGUCGAGUGACUUUGCGCCGAAAAUGUAACGGGGCUAAAGCCCGCCACCGAAGCUCUGGAUCCCGGUUUAUACCGGGGUGGUAGGGGAGCGUACCCCGGGCGCCGAAGCCAUACCGGAAGGAGUGGUGGAGCCCGGGGCAGUGAGAAUGCCGGCAUGAGUAAGCGAGAAGGCAGGUGAGAAUCCUGCCCGCCGAAAGCCUUAGGUUUCCUGGGGAAGGCUCGUCCGCCCAGGGUAAGCCGGGACCUAAGCCGAGGCGUAAAGCGUAGGCGAUGGGCAAUCGGUUGAUAUUCCGAUGCCGCCAGUUACCCGCCAUGAGGAUGGGGUGACGCAGAAGGGUAGGCCCAGCGCACCGUUGGUCGUGUGCGUCUAAACCUGUAGGGCGGAAGGUAGGAAAAUCCGCCUUCCAAAAAGCCCGAGAGGUGACGGGGAGCGAAAACAAGUAGCGAACUGGUUGAUCCCAAACUGCCGAGAAAAGCCUCUAACGAGGACUUCAGGUGCCCGUACCGCAAACCGACACAGGUAGGUGGGGAGAGGAUCCCGAGGCGCGCGAGCGAACCUCCGUUAAGGAACUCGGCAAAAUGACCCCGUAACUUCGGGAGAAGGGGUACCCCGUUAGGGUGAUAGUUUAAACGAACUAGAGCCCGAGGGGGUCGCAGAGAAGUGGCCCAGGCGACUGUUUACCAAAAACACAGGUGCCUGCUAAAGCGAAAGCUGAAGUAUAGGUGCUGACGCCUGCCCGGUGCUGGAAGGUUAAGGGGAAGGGUCAGCAAUUCGGAAGUCAGAGGCCAGAAGUCAGAAGUAAAUACGACCUCUGACAUCCGGUUUCCGACUUCCGAAUUGCGAAGCUCUGAACCGAAGCCCCAGUAAACGGCGGCCGUAACUAUAACGGUCCUAAGGUAGCGAAAUUCCUUGUCGGGUAAGUUCCGACCC